Molecule: ribosomal RNA, 253 nt
Filed under: uncultured bacterium
Lineage: Bacteria
Description: partial 16S ribosomal RNA
Rfam family: Bacterial small subunit ribosomal RNA
Source: RNAcentral
UACGGGGGGGGCAAGCGUUGUUCGGAAUUACUGGGCGUAAAGGGUUCGUAGGUGGCUUGUUAAGUCAGACGUGAAAUCCCUCGGCUCAACCGGGGAACUGCGUCUGAGACUGAUGAGCUCGAGUGCAGGAGAGGAACGCGGAAUUCCAGGUGUAGCGGUGAAAUGCGUAGAUAUCUGGAGGAACACCGGUGGCGAAGGCGGCGACCUGGACAAGCACUGACACUCAACUACGAAAGCGUGGGGAGCAAACAGG